This 831-nucleotide ribosomal RNA is filed under the name uncultured Bacteroidota bacterium. RNAcentral's name for it is "bacterial SSU rRNA". It matches the Rfam family "Bacterial small subunit ribosomal RNA", at positions 60 to 897 of the family's 1533-position model. The record is from RNAcentral. Lineage: Bacteria; Pseudomonadati; Bacteroidota.
AGUCGAGGGGUAUAGGCUUUCGGGCCUAGAGACCGGCGCACGGGUGCGUAACGCGUAUGCAAUCUACCUUUCACAGAGGGAUAGCCCAGAGAAAUUUGGAUUAAUACCUCAUGGUAUAUAGGAGUGGCAUCACUUUUAUAUUAAAGUCACGACGGUGAAAGAUGAGCAUGCGUCCCAUUAGCUAGUUGGUAAGGUAACGGCUUACCAAGGCGACGAUGGGUAGGGGUCCUGAGAGGGAGAUCCCCCACACUGGUACUGAGACACGGACCAGACUCCUACGGGAGGCAGCAGUGAGGAAUAUUGGUCAAUGGGCGCAAGCCUGAACCAGCCAUGCCGCGUGCAGGAUGAAGCAUCUAUGGUGUGUAAACUGCUUUUGUACGGGAAGAAACAGAGGUUCGUGAACCUCCUUGACGGUACCGUAAGAAUAAGGAUCGGCUAACUCCGUGCCAGCAGCCGCGGUAAUACGGAGGAUCCAAGCGUUAUCCGGAAUCAUUGGGUUUAAAGGGUCCGUAGGCGGUUUAGUAAGUCAGUGGUGAAAGCCCAUCGCUCAACGGUGGAACGGCCAUUGAUACUGCUAGACUUGAAUUAUUAGGAAGUAACUAGAAUAUGUAGUGUAGCGGUGAAAUGCUUAGAUAUUACAUGGAAUACCAAUUGCGAAGGCAGGUUACUACUAAUGGAUUGACGCUGAUGGACGAAAGCGUGGGUAGCGAACAGGAUUAGAUACCCUGGUAGUCCACGCCGUAAACGAUGGAUACUAGCUGUUCGGAGNCAUCUGAGUGGCUAAGCGAAAGUGAUAAGUAUCCCACCUGGGGAGUACGGGCGCAAGCCUGA